GUCGUUCUGCUUUAGGACGCCGGACACGUUGGAUAGUGGAGAGAUCUACACAGAGGGAACAAAAACAGAGCACUGAUAACAGAGUCCACAGUCAGGAUGCAGACAUGGAGGAGGAUCACCAGGGUGAAGAUCAUCUUGUCUCCAGGUGAGACGGUUGAAGCUGCACCAGGGUAGAAGAAGCUGGAGACACAACUACAGUCCUGGCCAUGCAGGCAGGCAGAAAGCAGCGUAUAAGAACCGGCCAGUGCAGCUCCAGAUAAACACAGAGGCUGGCCAUCACAACCCACACCAACCACACCCCCACUAUGGAGAACCAGCCUUCUGGAAGCUUCCACACGGGGCUCUGAAAACACCUGUCACCACGGCUGUGCUUCCAACAAGACAGGAACCUCUUCAGAAAUGGAUGCAAACUGGGACCCCCUCUCAUUGCAGUCAAAUAGAAAGUAUUCCCUUUACUUCUGCCUUAACCCCCCAUCCAACACCACACACACACACACCAUUUAAUUUGACUUUGAUUUUGAAGGUGAACUUACCAGGGUG
This is a long non-coding RNA of Hypomesus transpacificus, 540 nucleotides long. RefSeq lists it as uncharacterized. The transcript is spliced from 3 exons. Lineage: Eukaryota; Metazoa; Chordata; Actinopteri; Osmeriformes; Osmeridae. The record is from RefSeq and is a predicted model, not a curated record.